AAUGUGAUGGUGAAAGUCUCCUUUUAACAAAAGAAAAAAAUCCUCUCAUCCCUAGGUUAUCACAUCUCUCUUCAUCUGCCUGAAAUCUUACUUCAGAUUUACUUCAUCUGCCUGAAAUCUUACUUCAGAGAGGAGACCAGGUCUCCUUUCAGAGGACGCCUUUCAGACCCAACCUUGGCAUUUGUCCAACAAACUGGAAUUACUCUCAGAACUCCUUUGACACUAACACCACACAGCUGGCUAUGGUACCGUGGAAAGGACCCUGGCUUCCAAGGCUCCUGCUCUGGGCAGUACUCCCGGCUCUGCUAUGUCCUAGCUACACUCCGAGUGAGUCUUUAACCUUCCUCACCCUAAAUAGAGCACACACAGAGUCCUCGGAUUAUUGAUUAGUUGGAAGACCUUGAGGGUAGAGAAGAAUUUUUUCCUCUCAGAGGCCAAGCACGCCACUCACAGAAGGGCUUUCUAUUCGCUCAAGUGUGACACCAGAGGAAGGCUGGGAUAUCGCCAUCCGCGCAGCAACGCCGAGGUGCUUCAUGUGUGUACUUCAUCUCCCCGGUCGAGAGACUGAGGCUUGGAGAGAUUAUUUUUCACCCAAGACCAUUAAGCAACUUCUGAUGUGUGAUUUCUGGAUGCCCAAAAGGAGAGAGUAAUCAUCACGUGUCUUUCCUCUCCAAUUCCCAUCCUUCAAACCUCAUCAUGGGCUCUCGGUGCCAGGCACAAGGCAGGCUGAUGGUGCAGAUGGAAUCACAGUGGAUUUUACCCCCUGGCAUCUUUGUCACUCUUUGGUUCAGUCUCUCAAAGGUUUAACACAGAAAGGCACACUAUGUAUUAACUCAUUUAAUGCAAGUUUCAAAGUGGUAAAAAAAAAAUAGACAAAGUACAAAUGCUAAGCUAAUCAUGAAAAUAAUGAUUUUAAGCUGCUCUAAGUCAACUGGUUCAAAUGACCAUCAGCUACAUGUUUGAGCUCUCAUUCUACUAUAAGAUACACGUGUUCAGUAAACAUUAGCCAAAUUGCUUGGUUCCUGAC
Long non-coding RNA from Zalophus californianus (California sea lion), 1027 nucleotides. RefSeq lists it as uncharacterized. The transcript is spliced from 4 exons. Lineage: Eukaryota; Metazoa; Chordata; Mammalia; Carnivora; Otariidae. The record is from RefSeq and is a predicted model, not a curated record.